Molecule: non-coding RNA, 610 nt
Organism: Equus caballus (horse)
Lineage: Eukaryota; Metazoa; Chordata; Mammalia; Perissodactyla; Equidae
Source: RefSeq, a predicted model, not a curated record
UUUAAAAAUUAAACACAAUUCUCACUUGGACUUUAAAUAUUUUAAUUAAUCCAGAAUAAGCAUAAUAUAUUUUUGAGUGUGGUUAAUAUAAAAAUGUAGUGUUAAUCAUUUGGCUUUCAAAUUUUACAAGGAUGCGUUCGACAUUCACAAAUACCAUUUUGAAGAGAAAGUAAUGCCGUUUUAUUGUAUGGUAUGGAGAAAAAUUGAUUUGAGCUCCUUGCUAUGGGAACUGGUAAACCCUGAAAAUGGUCAAUUGAGCUAUUUGUGAAAUGACAUCAUCUGACAUUUCAGACAAAGCUGUCAUUAAUCCAGUGGUUAUCAAAUUGGAGGAAGGAGGAAGCACAGAAAAAGAAUUUGGGCCGGAGAAGGAGGGCAUCCUCCGCCUCUUUCCACUACAGGAACACAAAAGGACAGAAAUAUUUAUCUCAAGAAGCAGGGAGCAGGACAAGUAAUGGAGAGGUAGCACAAUCAAUCUAUCUAUCCAAUAAGAAAAAAGAACACAAACUUCAGGCAGAAGGAUGGUGAGUCAAAGAUACACAUAUUAAUAAUUGCUUUCUUUUUUUCUUCUUCUUCUCCCAAAGCCCCCCAGUGCAUAGUUGUAUAUUCUAGU